RNAcentral lists this ribosomal RNA (497 nucleotides) under uncultured bacterium. RNAcentral describes it as "partial 16S ribosomal RNA". It matches the Rfam family "Bacterial small subunit ribosomal RNA", at positions 28 to 507 of the family's 1533-position model. The record is from RNAcentral.
GAUGAACGCUGGCGGCGUGCCUAAUACAUGCAAGUCGAGCGAACGGACGAGAAGCUUGCUUCUCUGAUGUUAGCGGCGGACGGGUGAGUAACACGUGGAUAACCUACCUAUAAGACUGGGAUAACUUCGGGAAACCGGAGCUAAUACCGGAUGAUAUUUUGAACCGCAUGGUUCAAAAGUGAAAGACGGUCUUGCUGUCACUUAUAGAUGGAUCCGCGCUGCAUUAGCUAGUUGGUAAGGUAAUGGCUUACCAAGGCAACGAUGCAUAGCCGACCUGAGAGGGUGAUCGGCCACACUGGAACUGAGACACGGUCCAGACUCCUACGGGAGGCAGCAGUAGGGAAUCUUCCGCAAUGGGCGAAAGCCUGACGGAGCAACGCCGCGUGAGUGAUGAAGGUCUUCGGAUCGUAAAACUCUGUUAUUAGGGAAGAACAUAUGUGUAAGUAACUGUGCACAUCCUGACGGUACCUAAUCAGAAAGCCACGGCUAACUACGUG